This 460-nucleotide ribosomal RNA is filed under the name uncultured bacterium. RNAcentral describes it as "partial 16S ribosomal RNA". It matches the Rfam family "Bacterial small subunit ribosomal RNA", at positions 338 to 795 of the family's 1533-position model. The record is from RNAcentral.
CCUACGGGAGGCAGCAGUGAGGAAUAUUGGUCAAUGGACGAGAGUCUGAACCAUCCAAUUAUCUUUAAUUAUUACUUCCCUAUUUUUUUUAAACUUCUUUUAUAAAUUAAUAAAACGAGGCACGUGUGCCUUUUUGCAUGUACUUUAUGAAUAAGGAUCGGCUAACUCCGUGCCAGCAGCCGCGGUAAUACGGAGGAUCCGAGCGUUAUCCGGAUUUAUUGGGUUUAAAGGGAGCGUAGAUGGGUUGUUAAGUCAGUUGUGAAAGUUUGCGGCUCAACCGUAAAAUUGCAAUUGAUACUGGCAGUCUUGAGUACAGUUGAGGUAGGCGGAAUUCGUGGUGUAGCGGUGAAAUGCUUAGAUAUCACGAAGAACCCCGAUUGCGAAGGCAGCUUACUAAACUGUGACUGACAUUGAUGCUCGAAAGUGUGGGUAUCAAACAGGAUUAGAUACCCUUGUAGUC